This 445-nucleotide ribosomal RNA is filed under the name uncultured bacterium. Its description in RNAcentral is "bacterial SSU rRNA". It matches the Rfam family "Bacterial small subunit ribosomal RNA", at positions 330 to 792 of the family's 1533-position model. The record is from RNAcentral.
UCCAGACUCCUACGGGAGGCAGCAGUGGGGAAUAUUGCACAAUGGGGGAAACCCUGAUGCAGCGACGCCGCGUGAGUGAAGAAGUAUUUCGGUAUGUAAAGCUCUCUCAGCAGGAAAGAAAAUGACGGUACCUGACUAAGAAGCCCCGGCUAACUACGUGCCAGCAGCCGCGGUAAUACGUAGGGGGCAAGCGUUAUCCGGAUUUACUGGGUGUAAAGGGAGCGUAGACGGUGAAGCAAGUCUGAAGUGAAGGGCGGGGGCUCAACCCCCGGACUGCUUUGGAAACUGUUUGACUGGAGUGCAGGAGAGGUAAGUGGAAUUCCUAGUGUAGCGGUGAAAUGCGUAGAUAUCAGGAGGAACACCGGUGGCGAAGGCGGCUUACUGGACCAUAACUGACGUUGAGGCUCGAAAGCGUGGGGAGCGAACAGGAUUAGAUACCCGAGUA